Salmo salar (Atlantic salmon) is the source of this 2000-nucleotide non-coding RNA. Lineage: Eukaryota; Metazoa; Chordata; Actinopteri; Salmoniformes; Salmonidae. The record is from RefSeq and is a predicted model, not a curated record.
UGUUUGCUGUGUGUUUGUCUGUUUGCUGUGUGUUCUCGGCGCCUGUCAAAGCCAGUCUAAUAUUAGCGGCUCAUUGAUCGCUGGCUGUAUCUGGACGAAAAGAUGGUGAUAAAUGAGGAUAGCUGCGGUGGGGUGGGGGGGGCGGCGGCGGGCGCUCUCAAAAUGCUAGCGAAAACGUAAAAGUGGUAGCAUCAGGCUUUUUUUAAGUGAGAGAAAGAGAGAGAACCGUCGGCACUGAGCCUUCAUUGCAGUCCAAACAGGAGAAGCCAAUACAAUGCACAGUCUGUGAGACAGCAGUCAAAGAGGAUUGGAGAUUAGUUAGCCGGAGCAGACGCGCCCAGAGAGGGAAAGAUGGAGAGAGAGAGUGAGCAGAGAGAAAUGAAGAGGGCAGUGUGGUCUCGGGGAUUUUUUCUCUCCCCGUCGUUGAAUUGAACCUACAUUGUGUUGUACGUCGCCAGCCUCCCCCUCAGCUAUAUUUGUCCCUCCCCCAUCAUCUCUCCCUCGCUCUCUCCCCCUCUCUUUCCGCUCUCCGUAUCAAAGCCUGGGGGAGCCAGUAGAGAUUAAAUGUAGCCUCUAUAAGCCAAGCACAUCAUGUAGCUAUGUUUCUAUGACCUGCUCUCUCUUCCUGCUCUCUCUCUCCUCUCAUUCUCUUUUUGAAGGAUAGUGUUAAUGAUGUCGGGCAUGUGUGAGGUAGUGAGGCAGUGAGAGGAGAGAGACACGGAGAGGGAGGGAAAGUGAGAGAGACCGUAUGAGACAGAGAGGAAUACAUGCAAGAAGAAAAUCAAGGAAAACAGAGAAUUUGUUGACGGGAAACAGACUUGAAUAAAACACUGAAAAGGUGGAAAAGCGAGAGGCGGCUGACUUUCUCAUUCCCCCUCCUCAUCUCCCUCCUCCUCCUCCUCCUCCUCCUCCUCCUUAGCCUCCUCCUCCUCCUCCUCCUUCUCCUCUCUUUCUGUCUAUCUCUAUCUGUCUCUCCGGCUGAUACAGCAGAGAAGUGGGCCUCUUGUUUUAAAUUAUUACAUCUGUGCAGGCAAAUUAUUGGAUAAUAUUUCCACAUUUUUUGGGAAAAGUAUUUUUUCAUCUCCUGCCAUUCAGCAGGAAUGCAUGAAGACGAGAGCGGGAGACCUCGGAUUCACAGUUUUCUCUUUUCCCUUCUUCCAAUUUUGCAUGUGUUUCUGUUCUGCACUGAGAGAGAGAGAAAGAGAGAGAGAGGGAGGGGGGUGAAAUAAAAUUGAUCAAUGUUAGCGAGGGAAGCAGAAGAGCAGCAACAUCCAUUGAUGCGUUUUGUCUUUUAAUUAGUUUGGAUAUUUUUGGGCUCUUUUGGCAUAUACGACAACAAACUGUUAAUUUUCUUCUAACCUGAACUGGAUAUGAAAUAGGGAUAUACAACUGAGUAAAGGCGGCAUAGGUUAACAGCAGCGAAACAAAGCUGCAACAAGGGACAAGGGCUGGUGCCUCCUCAUUACGAACCAGACCUGGAAGUUCCCCUGAGAGUGUGGACAAUGCCCUUCACUCAACAGUCAUAAAAGCCUAUGAGCGUCAGUGGAGCUGUGGCCGUUCUGCAUGACUGGAGGAAGGAGGGAGGAUGAAAAGGCGAGGAGAUUUUGGCCGGCCCCAGAAUGUUUUGGGUGCAAAGAGGAGACGCGAGUCAAAAACCACAGUGAGAGUGGCCUGAUUAAAGACUGAUCCCAGUUCAUCUCCAGGACAUCCGUACUCUAAAGCCUCUAUAGACACACCCUUCACCUCACUGUUUACAUGCACUCCUUCCUGUCUCGCGCUGCCAAAUACUGAAGGACUUACUCAUAGCAUUCUGUGGUUAACCAAGGCUAUGAGUUUGCCUUCACUUUGUUAAGGGCCUUUGAGGAGACUCUGUGCCACUGUGUGUGAUAGAAAUAAACAAAUCUCCCAUCUAUCAAAAACAUUUGUAAGUUGGAAGGACAUUGACUAAAGACAGUAAAGUAAACUAAAAAUAAUUCAAUAAACAUUUUAGAAAGCAGAGA